GACGAACGCUGGCGGCGUGCUUAACACAUGCAAGUCGAGCGGUAAGGCCCUUUCGGGGGUACGACGAGCGGCGAACGGGUGAGUAACACGUGGGUGACCUGCCCUCCAGCUCUGGGAUAAGCCUGGGAAACCGGGUCUAAUACUGGAUAUGACUCCAUGACGCAUGUUGUGGGGUGGAAAGCCCUGUGCGGCUGAGGAUGGGCCCGCGGCCUAUCAGCUUGUUGGUGGGGUGANGGCCUACCAAGGCGACGACGGGUAGCCGGCCUGAGAGGGCGACCGGCCACACUGGGACUGAGACACGGCCCAGACUCCUACGGGAGGCAGCAGUGGGGAAUCUUGCGCAAUGGGC
Molecule: ribosomal RNA, 349 nt
Filed under: uncultured bacterium
Lineage: Bacteria
Description: bacterial SSU rRNA
Rfam family: Bacterial small subunit ribosomal RNA
Source: RNAcentral